RNAcentral lists this long non-coding RNA (1179 nucleotides) under Olea europaea subsp. europaea. Lineage: Eukaryota; Viridiplantae; Streptophyta; Magnoliopsida; Lamiales; Oleaceae. The record is from RNAcentral.
UGUUUACAUGAACCAACAGCAAGAAAACAUUAAAUGCAUUAUUGUGCCCUCUCUGUCCCAUCCACAUGAGUUGUACACUAGUGCAAAUACAGCCGGCAUGCCCACUGUUCAACCAAAGGAGAAGCAAAGGAACAUAAUAUUUUCCGAAUGACAAGACCCUUUUAACUGAGAAUCAGAUUUUUCCGAGAGAACGAGGUUUUUAUUUCUCUUGUCCAAGUUAAAAUACUGAAAUCAACUGGGAUUAACCAGAGAUAGCUGUGCAUGCAGAUACCAGAAAUGGUACACAAUGAAGGCCCCUUAAUAUGGAUCUGCAGAUAGACUUUCUUUUCACUCACAAUGAUGCACUGUUGGGCAUAUGAUCUCUGUACAACACAUACGACAGCAAUUUUCUUCCCUUUGAAUGGAUCUGCUUUAACAAAUGGGUAAAUUUUUGUUAAAAUGCCUCAAGUGAGCGAGCCAAAGUUGAACCCGAACCCACUUCUCUUUUCUCGAACAUCUAAAAAUGGAAUGCUAUGAAAUUAACGAGGACCCAGAUUCCUCAAAUAAAAUACUAGUACUUUUGCUUUUUGCUUGUCCAAACCCACAAUAACAAAACUCAUUAAAAUGAUUGAAAUGACACAAGAGUUGAUUUUAUGUGCUAUCAGAUAUGACUUCUAAAAUCAACACCACAGAUUAAUCCUGCAAAAACCCACAAACCCAAUCAAUACAUCAAACAUUCAAGAGUUACAUAUCAAUUAUUAUGCACCCUCACAAUGUGUGUGUGUGUGUGUGAGAGAGAGAGAGAAAAUAUGCAGAGAAGAUUUGAUAGGAUAAAAAUGGUAAUCCUUUGUCUAUCUAUAUGCUCUCCACCCUGGCUCCUGGGAGGAGGCACAUCCUGCGAUUUACCUCCUCCACGAUGGUCCAGGACAGGGUCGGUGGGGGCCCCUAAGGUUGGGGUUCAACCUUUUAACAAGAAGCCAACAAAAACCCACCCAGAAAAAUGAAAAAGAUCACACUACAGAAGAUUCACUUAUGGGUGUAUGUAUUCAGUGUGUGUGAAAAUGCGUGAGAGAGAAAGGGAGAGUCACGUUACAUAUAAUAGUGAUAUUCAUACACAAUGAGCUUUCAAGUUGAACAACCCCAACAACUCAAUCCAAACUGAUGUAAUUCAACCCAACCCGAAACAAUAUUAAAUUACUG